RNAcentral lists this long non-coding RNA (18694 nucleotides) under Nicotiana tabacum (common tobacco). RNAcentral's name for it is "long non-coding RNA (NTAB_LNC003815)". The record is from RNAcentral. Lineage: Eukaryota; Viridiplantae; Streptophyta; Magnoliopsida; Solanales; Solanaceae.
ACACCACAAGUUCAAAAGUCUUCUCUCUCUUCUUAAACUCCGUGCCUAGUCAAAUGAGUUCACAUAAAUUGAAACGGAGGGAGUACUAAUUUUUAUAUAUACUUUUAAGACUUUAUAUAGAAUUUUCUUUAAAAAAUGUCAAAAUGUUUGGGAUCCUCCCGUGGAAUGUGAUAUUUAAUAUAUCUAUGAAGUGCGUUAUUUUUAUUUACUUUAAAUAAUGGGUUGUAUCAUCACUUUCUUAUCAAGUGUUAUUGAAAUGCGUCAAUCUCUUUGUUCUUUCAUAUUCAUAUGUAAAGAUAUGUUAAAUCUUAUAUCUUUUUCAAAUUUGAAAUGAUAUUUAAUAAUUUUAAAAUUAAAUAGAGCAUAUCAUUAUUUAAGUUUCAUAUUGAUUUUUAUGUUUAAUUAUUAAAUUCGAUCGGUUAACCUUGAAAGCAUACAUCAACGGAAAAUUAUUAUUAGACGGCUAAAAAAUAACUAUCACGUGUUAUUAAAAAAAUUCUCCCAUAAGAAUAUUUUAAUAGAUCAUAUGUUUGUUAGUUUUUUCGAUCUUUACUAAACAUAUAUUCACUUAUUAAAACUUUAUCUAUAACUUAAACAAAUUAAGAUUGAAAUAAUAUUAAUGUAACAAAAAACUCGAAAAAUCUAAAAAAGUUGAUAAAAUCGAAUAAAUCCAAACCGAUAUAGUUAAUUUGAUAAAAAUCGAACCAAUCCGGUCCAUGUACACCCGUCUAGAAGUACUACUACUAGUUUCGGAUUCGCCCACAAAAUGCGACUGUGAUGUGCAAAUGACGUGCACUGUACCACCGAAAGCCGAAAUGCAUUUAGCUUAAUUAUAGCUUAAGGUAAUAGAGUAAUUAAUAAGGCUAGCUAGCCAAUAUACUUAAAGAUGUUUACUAUCUGUUAGUAGUAUAAUUUAUUGAUAAUUUUGCUUAUCGCGAGUUAAUUUGAUUCAUUUUUAAGCAAAAUUGGAUUGUAUUAACCCAAUAUUUUGAAUUAAAAUUUAGAUAUUCAGAAAUUAUAUAAAAAAUAAUAUAGGUUGUAAUUCUUCCCAUGUUAAUAUGAUGAAAAAAUAUAUCUUAAAAUAUUAGUCAAAAUUUAUAUAGUUUGAAUCUUAGAAAACGAAAGUGCCACAUAAAUUGAACAGAUGAAUAGUUGAUUUGCAUUCCACGCUAUGCCAGAUAGGUUUCACACGUUCAGAAAAUGGUGGGCGAGGCAGAAAGGUAGCCGUCAGAGCUAACCUUAAGUUGGCGAAUACCUUUUUUGCCAUAGUUCGGACAAGAGUAUCACGAGUUUGAAUAACCAUUAAUAUUAAUUCUGAACAGAUUGGAAGUUAGUUUUAAGGUUUCAAAUAUGUUUUUGUUGAUGGUAAUGGAAGUUGCUAUAGAGAUUUUGGUAAGUUUUGGUUAUGAGAUUUUGGUGUAGGGCUGUAAUAUUGUAUUUUUAUUACAAGGAGAAAGAAGAAGUGGAGAACAAAUGUAUUAUACUAUUGUUUACCCUAAAAAUUGGGUAACAAUUAAACUUAUAAUGUGAUUUUAAGGAUAUGUGAUUUCACCUAAUAUCAAUUGAUAAACAUAAAGAUAAGUGAUGCAAAUUGACAAUAAUAUAAACAAAUCAGUGUUUGGACAGAACCCUCGAGAUUGGACACCCUCGAGCUAGUUAUGCAAGAAUAGUUAAGGGCACAAUAAGCUGAUGAACAAGAAAGUAAACUAAGAAAUAUUAUAUUACUUUAAUAUUCGUGAAUGUAGGUGUUUACAAAAUGAUUGGGGCCUUCUUUAUAUAGCAGAUGAGUCCUAGUUAUGGUACAAUUCUAUUUACAGAAGUAAAUCCCAUGAUUAACUAGGUAACUGCCCUUGAUUUGAUCUGUUCCAAGAUAGACGCCAUGAUCUCCGGUCAAUCACGGAUAUCUUGCUUUCCCGUUACUGCACUUUGCUCGAAGUCUGUCAUAUUUGGUCUCGAUCACUGCUGGCCUCGAUCUCGAUAGGCAUUUCGAUCUUCGAAUUGGCUAUAUGUCUUCGUGCUCUGAUAUGAUUCAUUACGAGGCUGACCCUCGAUCCAAUUUCGUGCUCUCGAUCAAAUAGCAAAAUCGGGUAGGCCCGAUGUUAACCGUAUACAGAUAGUCCCAUCGUUUCUUGGAGUGUAAUGAGAAGAAACGAAUUGAGCCUACGAUUUUGUACCUCGAUCCAUCAUGACGUCAUCCUUGUGAGGUAAGUGACGUAAGCGACCGAAACGUCCCGUCGGUUCAAUUCCAAAAUCAUUAAUGAGUGUCAGUUGGCGGUCGCCCACUAGUGCCUUUGAACAGUCGCUGUGAAUUUUUAAAUAGGUCUUCUUCUCACUUCCUCAAACUUUACUUUGGAUUUCUCUAAUACCAAUCUUCAAAAUUUCUUUGUGUUCUUCAAGUUUAUCUGCAAAUCUUUAAAGUUUUCCUCACCUUCUAAGACUUCUCGUUCCACUCCGUUACCAAACCUUAUCCUCUUCUCUUUUCUUUACACAAAAAUGGCGAAAACAUCAAAAACUGUUCCCCGGAAAGAAAAAGCCUAUUCGUCGCGAUCAGCAGGUGAUAAAACGCCGGUGGACCCACGCCCUGAGGAGUGUGUUCCCGAGGGAGGGUGCGAUCUCACUUUCGACUUCAGAAUUGAGAAAACCUCCUCCAUCCCCGGUCGGUGUGAACCCAUGUCGAGAUACAUAUGCUCGAUAACUAAAAGAGACCUUGAGCAGGUCAAGAAAGACUGCAACUGGGACAAGAAAGAGGUGGUGGUCCCGACCCCUGAGGAAGAUAUCACUACCCACGUGAAUGGGUUCCUAAGUGUUUACACUUUCCCUUUCAUGCUGGGACCUGUUAACCUUGUCAUCCUCGAUUUCUUCCGCUAGUACCAAAUAACCCUCGAUCAGAUCCACCCUUCCUUAGGCGGAUUGUCCUUUUGUUUCGGUUUUUUUCGAACAAAAAGAAAGGGAUGCCUUUUACCCUUGAUCAUCUCAUCAGACUAUACAAGCCCCAUCUUUUCCGAGGCGGACUGAUAAAGCUCCAGUGUCGAGCUAUCAAGGUAUUGUUCUCGAGUAUAGACGAGGACAAGGACAGAGGGUGGAUGGAUCGAUUUGUCCGAGUGAAGACUUCCGACCUAAUUUCGCCCGAGAAGAUGCAUUUCUUGAGAAGUGGAACAUGAAGCGUAAGUUUGAUCCUUCCUCCAGCUUUUUAUUUACCAUUUUGUUUCCUUUACUUCCUUGUACUAACAUCCCUUUAUGUGAUGUAGCGGUUGCUUGGAUGCCCGGCAUGAUUCCAAACCUCGAAAGUUGGGUUCGGACCCUAGCCUCGGCCUCUUCGUACGCUGAGCACUCAUGGAACGACUUAGCAAGGGGCCGAUGGGAGGCUAAAAAUCACAGUAAUCCUUCCCUUUUAUGUACUUAAUGGCCUUAAAACAUUUUUCUUUUAAACUUACCUAGCUCCCUCUUGUGCAGGCCUGGUUAAACUGUUAUGAGGCCUCCGUCCGGGGAGGAGGAGGUUUCACCCCCGGUCCUGAAGCUGUCGAAGGAGAAGAAGAGGAAAAGUAUCUCGCCCUCCGAUACUCCAAAGCCUAAGAAGAGCAAGGCUCGCAAGUCGAAGAAAGACACUGCCGCUGCCUGGAGACGUAGCCCAAAAACUACGAGAUGAAGAAGAGGAGAAAGAAGAUGUUGACUAUGAGCUGGUGGCUCGAAAGAGGGGGAGCGUCGAAUCUUCAAAGGCAGCUGAGCUGGUGAUGGUCGAGGAGGCUCAUCUUCGAACCGAGGAGAUCUCUGAAGAUGGUCUGAGCAAAGUCCCCGAGUCAUCGUAGGCUGAAGAUGUCUCCUGCCGUGACAAAUAAUUGGCAAAUGUGCUUGUCCGACGUGACGAACAAUCAACGGUUGUUCCUGAAGGGUCCAGUUUCGAGGCCCUCUAAAAAGGAGAGAGAGCCCCAAUUGUCUUGCUUGGGGCAAUCAAUAUUGAUUAUUCGCCGCCCAUUCCCAUAUUUUCUGAGGGGCAAAUUUAGGAGGCCCAGGAUUUGGAGACCCCCGAUGUGGGAAUGACACACGAAGGGGAUGACUUAUUCCGUGGCUGCUUUAUGGGGGUCGAUGAUGUUUCCGAUCUGGAUGCAUCGAUCAUUUUCGAUGAGGCUCAGCAACUCCUGAACCAGUUAGACUCCAGCCCCCGUUAUUAGUUUUACGUUUGCCUUCAUUUCCUUUUGCCUGAUUUCCUUUCUUUCUCCAUAGGCCAUGACAUUUCAUCGUGAAGCAUUUUCCAAAUCCCGAGCUGAGCUGAAACGGCAUGAGGCUGACCUCAAAAGCCUCACGGAGGAGAGAGAUUACCUCAAACUCUUCAGUGGGCAAAAAGAAAAGGAGAUCAAGGACCUCUGAGCUGAACUAGCCAAAGCUCACAAACAGCAGACUGACUUGAUCGAACAGGUAAUGAGGAAUUUUUUUAGAAGUUUGGUGUGUCGAUUCAGGGGUGGCGACUAAUACUUAGAUCCUGCUGGUUCAGCAGAACGCCAAAAAGAUCGAGCAGCUUCGCGAGGAGGCCAAAAUGAAAGAGGCAGAGACUUUGGGGUGGAAGCAGAACAUGGACCGCCUCACCUCGGAGAAAGAUACUGCUCGAGCCCAGCUAUCUUUGGCUGAGCAUCAACUCCAAAGCAUGAAGGAGGAGAGCUUGGCCUGAGCCAAUAAAAUUGAGGAGCUCGAGACUAGAUUGGUCGUCAAUCUUGCAAAGGCCACAUCUGAGGCAGGAAGAAUAAAGGCUGAAGCUGAGGCGAUGGUGGCCAUCUAUCGAGCUGAUGCUGAAGCUGCUCAAGUUCGAGCAAAGGCAGCGGCUGAUACAGCCUAGACUCGAUCAUACUGGGUCGUUGAGCAUACCAAGUUUCAGUCUCGAAGAGAGAUUCUCGAGGAGAUUCAUGCUCGUAUCUUCGACCUUGCCGCCGAUAUCGAGAAUGCAAAAAUACUUGAGGCCAAUGCUAGAGCGCUGCUUUCCUCUGAUGAUGAUGACUCCGGGAGCGCAAGUGGAUCGGAGAGCGGAUAAGAUGAAGAUGAGGCACUAAGAAUUUUUUUCUUUUUUUUUGGAUUUUUUGUGUAAGACUUUGAGUGGUCUUUGUAAAUAUUUUUGCAUAUAUGAAAAAUCCCUUUUCUUUCCGAUUUGUCUCUGAUUUCUGUUUUCCUUUGUCUUAUGAUAAUUCUUACACACUUUAGAUCUUGUGAGAAUUUUGACUCAUUUCGUUUCCUUGUGAAAUUUUUUGUCGAAAUCAGAUUGGUAUAGUAUUUAUAAUCGAGUGAGUACUCGCUCAAACUCGGAGUAGAAAAAUCCGUUAGGUUUCAGUUGAGCGAGGAUGGAUCCUCGAACCCAAUAAUAUAUUGGUCCUUAGGCUCUUGAAUCGGGCCGACAUGGCCAUAAAAGAGUGGCAUUUUUUCCCUUUUCCGGCUUAAAAAGUUUUAAUUAUAUAAUGAAUUAUUAUGCCUUAGCACAAGAUAAAUAUGUACCCAUUAGGAUUCAGUGUUAUCGAAAAGCUGCAUUAUGCCUUAGCAUAAGUUUGUUCGAGAGUUCGAAUAAUUUUGUACCUCUUAUGGUUUUUGAGGGUUGAUGUUAUAGAAACUCUUUGUAACAUUGCCGAGAGUAGCCUUUUCUAAUCGGUUUUACGAAAAUAUUCGAAGGCCUGUUUGAUUACAGAAUUCGGACGUCUCUGAACCGUGUUAGUUCGGUCGUAGCCUUUAACUUGAGAUUUUUCCUUCGGACUUGUUUCUCGAUUAUACUUCGAACUUAUUCAAAGUGUCAAUCCCCGAGUGGGGUGGCCUAUAAAAUCGAAGAUUUUCUUUUUAAGGUCUUAUAAUUUUGUAGUUUAAUAAUUUGAGCAUGCCGAUUUUCAGACAGCAGUCCCCGAGUACGGGGUUAAUUGCUCGAGCUUUAGCAGCGAUUAGCUCUUGAGCCAGUUUCCGCAAUAGAUUGUAAGUAUGAAAUUGUAAAGUAGAAAUUUCACUAAGGGAUGGUGUAGACAUGUGAUUUUUGACCCUCCCCAAGAUUUUUCAUAUUUUAGCAUAUAAAUGUUUAGUUUAGGCCUAAUAUCGCUAUUUUAAUUAGUUUUGACCCCUUUACUUUAUUUUCUCACAAAAAAUAAAAAUUAAAAAAAAUAGUUUCAUUAAGGUUUUGUAGUCUUUUUUAAUCUUGAAAAAUACCAAAAAAAUAGGUUUGCUUUAAAUGGUUAGUGUUAUUUUAAUAGUUAUUUUCUUAAGUAAGAUUAAGUAGUAUUUUUAAUAGUUAUCUUGUUUGCUAUAUUAUUUUUACAUACAAAAAGGAGGAUGAAAUAGAAUUAAUUUUUUUGGACUAAUUUAGUCUUGCUUGUAGCCCAAUUAAACCAAACUCUUAGCACAUUAACUCAAAAGCCCAAACCUAGAUACCCCUUUAGCAUAAUAUACAAGAAAAAUCAAAAUAAAAAACCUAGACCUAGACUUUAGCACAUCAGCCGUUUUUUACAUGGAAGGGACUCUUCAUCUUCUUUAGAGAAAACCCUAGAGAACCUAAUCUUGAAGACCAAGCAGCCACGAGAGAUACAACUCUAAAAAAAACCUAGCACCAGCAGUUCCGGCCGAUCCCCCGAACCCUAGAACUUCUACACCUCGCCCAAAUGACCCUUCAACUCCUCCUACACAGAACCAGCGAGAACGGACCCUCUCAUCUCUCUUGAUCUCUGAGAGCAACGAGCAGUAGAAUACCAUCCCCAAUAGAGAACGACCUCCCUCCCUCGUUGCACUUUCGUUCUGUUCUAUCUCGCCAACGAGCUGGCCAAAAUCCAACAGGCUUUCAUGGAGGUCGUUCCAAAGCUCCAAGAAGAAGAAACAGCCGUCGUCCAAACCUCCAACCAACGAUAGCCGCUCCCUCACCACAAACAGCCCGAAGCAGCUCCAAACCGCCAGUAACUGUCAUAGCAUCCGUUGGCUUCAUUGUUUGGUUUAAUUCGAUUUUCCGGCGAGUAUUGUUCUUCAUCUCCUUCUCCGACAGCCAUUGCUAAUCCAACUGACCCUGUUCUUGGCUUCUAGAUAUGGUCGGUUUUACAUUUUUUGGCGAUUUCCAUUAAAACGGGUGGAGAGUGUUGUUUGAGUUGAGUUUUGCCGGUUCGAGGUUCGGAUCAAUAGCUCGUUUGUUUUGAUUUGCUGUUUUCUUGAGAUCUUACUUCAUUGAUUCAUGGCAGAAAAUACGCAGCAAUAAGGUUCAUUUUCCUUUCCGAUAUUGUUCUUCUCGCUAAUGUUUUGGAUCGUUUUGUAUUGAUUUAAUUUGUAUGAUUGGGAUGAUUUUUGUUCUUAGUUUUCUUUGUUGGGACAUUACUCUUGUUGAUUACGUUUCCUCCUAGUCCAUUACUGUAAUUUUCUUAGCAAAUUAUAUUGUUAGUCUCAAUAAUAAUUUAGUUUUUCUUUCUCUAUUUUGAGUAGUUUCCUUGGUAAGCAAUUAUCUGAAAUUAGCUUUUAGGAUAAUGAAUAAUGAAUCUCGUAGUUUACUUUAGACACGUAAUUAAAGCAUCACGACUAUGAGUAUGGUUCUCGUAGCAUGGUUGUGAUACUUAAUCUCAAAUUAGCUUUAAAUAUGAAUAUCUGUAGUUGAAUGCAUUUCGUUUAAAAUAAAUUGAGGUGCGCCAUACACAAACAAAAUUCAUAUUCUAUGGCCCUCAUAUUGGUUAUCUUAACUAGUGUAAAAAUGCCUUGAAUUUUCGUAGUUUGCUUUAGGUGUGUUAAUUAAAUAAUUAUCAUAGCUACGGGUACGGUUCCCGUGACGUGGUCGUGACACUUAAUUUCUAAAAAUCCGGGGUACAUUUAUGUGACCCGGCCACAAUUUAAUCUUGUUAAUAAAAUAAACAUAUUGUAGAUCGUUGGUACGGUUCCCGUGACAAGAUUUGCAAUGUCUAAUUAAAUAAAUAUUAGUAUAAUAACUGAAUAAUUAAAAGCGGUUUAAAAGGAAUAAAAUGCACAUAGGUUUAAAAAUAUUUUAAAAUUAGACAAAUAGGUCAAUAAUAAUAGUUGAGCGACCGUGCUAAAACCACGGAACCCGUGAAUGCCUAACACCUUCUCCCGAGUUAACAAAAUUCCUUACCCGAAUUUCUGUGUUCGCAGACCAUAAAUAAGAGUCAAACUUCCUCGAUUCGGGAUUUUAAACCGAUGACUUGGGACACCAUAAAUUAUCCCAAGUGGUUACUCUGAACUUAAAUAAAUAAAUAAAUCCCAUUUCGAUUGUCACUUAAAUUGGAAAAAACUCCCUUAUACCCUUUCCGGGGGUAAGAAAAAGGAGGUGUGACAGCUCUGGCGACUCUGCUGGGGAUAAGAACCCAGAAUCUCUGGUUCAGGGUUCAAGAAUUCGAGCUUAGAAUAAUUGUUAUAUUUGGUUUUUAUUGAUUAUCUGAUUUUUAUCACAUGCUUGGGCCUAAUGUGCUAAAUGUUGCUUUUUACCGCUUUGAUAUUAUCUGAACUGUAUAUAAACUGCUACGAAACCCUUCUCUUCUCAUCUUCGGGGAUGUGCACGCUAGCGUGACUCCUUUUCUGUUAGUGUCAUACCUUNNNNNNNNNNNNNNNNNNNNNNNNNNNNNNNNNNNNNNNNNNNNNNNNNNNNNNNNNNNNNNNNNNNNNNNNNNNNNCUCGAGUUGUCCGCUCGGGUACACAAGUCUAGAAUAAUAUAACCAGGUUUUAAACCUAGAAUAACUCAGCCUCAUGUCGGAUCCCUAGUAAGAACGCUUGUUUAAUCCGUCUAGGAUAGGUGUACCCAAAAUAACAGACUAUCUUGAUGCAUCUUUGUGCUACAUGUUGCAUUUCUUCAAGGGUAAAAAGGUCAUUUGGCGUACCAAUGAUAGUUGAGGGCAAAUGAGAAAAGAAAAAAAUGAGAAAGAAAAGAGGGUGAAGUGUGAAAAUAAAGCAAGUAGGGCCUAGUUAUGUUUUUCUUUUACAUUUUUUAAGAAAAAGACAAAAAAUGAACAUGAAAAGAAAAAUCCAAAAAGAUUUUGCAUUUCCCUUUAUUUUUCAAAAAAAAAGACAAAAAUAUAUUUUCUCUAAGUUAUUUAUUAAUUUUAUUUCUCGACCGUAUCUGAUCUUACCGAACUACGCAUAUCUGAUUCUCGUCUUUCGGAGCGUGAUACGUAGGCAACCCACAUAGGGUUCUGUCUUCUUAGUGAGUCUUAGGUCCUUGGCUUAGCGGGGUCUUAGCCAAAUCUUGCAUGUCUAGUCAAUUUUGGCCACAUUGGUCAUUUUGCAAAAUAGGGCUAUUUUCACAAAGUGGUUUGUUUAACUGUGUUUGGAGAGUCUCCAAUCUGCAAUUAGGUGUCUCUUUACUUUAGAGUCCAUCCUUGUCAAAUUUGCAUGUCUACCGCUUUUGGCUGCAUAGGCCGUUUUGCAAAAUAGGGCUAUUUUCGCAAAAGUGGUUCAAUUAACCCAUGUCUUAGAGUCCUAGGUCCACAACAAGGUGUCCUCUAUGUUUAAGGCCCAUUCUGUUGAAUUUUCAUGCUUAGCCGUUUUUUUGGCCACAUUGGCCAUUUCUACAAAAUCAGUCAUUUCUGCAAAAGUAAUUUUUCCAUGUCUUAGAGGUCACCUUUGUUGAGUUUGCACUUGUAGCAGCCUUUUGACCACAUAGACUAUUUUGCACAAUCAUAUCUUGUAUGUGUCCAACAAGAAGAGUUAUUGUCUCACAUAGCGUUCUAGGUCUUUAACUUUAUUUGGUCUUAGUUUUCUCAUAUAGGUGUGGAUUUAUUUAUCAGAGUUCGAGCAUGAUAGAUACCCCGGGACCAUCCAGUCAGGAUCGCUCAUUCAGGAGUUGCUUAAAUAGAUUUUUUUUAUUUUUAUUUUUUAUGUUUUGAGUCUGUUUUUCUUUUUAUGUCGUCUUUUACCUUCUAGCUUUGUACAAUAAUGUCGAGUCUUUUGUUAUUGUAUAAUCUAUUUUGUAUUUGAAAAAGUGUGGUAUAACUCAAAAAUCCAAAAAAAAAAAGAAAUUUUGCAUUUUAUAUUUCCGUUAGAAGUUUUCUUUAGAAUACUAAUUCUAGAAAUGAAAAAAAAAGAAUUUAUUUGAGGUGGUUUUCCUUAGGAAAUAAAAAAAAUUGCUUCUAUAUUUUCUUUAGUUAUUAAGACUAAAAAUUCACACACAAAAAAAAGAAUUUUCUUUUAGUACAUCUUUAAAAGUUUUCUUUAAGACAUUAAUUCCGAAAAUCCAAAAAGAUUUUCUUUUGAGGUUCUUCUUUGAGAAAUUAAUGAAAAAUGAAUUUUAAUUUUUUUUUACUAGAACUUUAGGAAAUUGUACAUAGAAGAAUAAAAUAACAUACUUUAUUCUUUGGUUUAUUUUCAGAGUUUCUCCCUUAAUUAAAAAUUGAAAUCCAAAAACAUUUUUUUAUCUUGUUCAUUUCCUGUUUCGAAAUCUUUCCUCAGGAUAUCAAACGAAAAUUCAAAAUAUAUUUCUUUGGUUUAUUUUUUAGAUUUUCUUUCUAAAAAAAAGAAUCAAAAAAAUAUUUUCUCUUCUAGGAUUUUCCCUUAAUAAUUUCUCAUAGAAUAUUUUUUUUAAAAAAAAAAAGAAGAAGAAAACAAAUAUAUGCUCAUUAAGCUUGAGUUUAGAAUAAGUUAUAGAACAUUAAAUAUAGAAAAUUAAAAAAAAGGAUUUGCUUCUUUUGGUUCUCUUUUCUCAUCAGAGUAGUCAUUAAGGUAAAAAGAAAAGAAAAAGAGAACGUUAGUUUGUUUACUUUAUUCUCGAUCUUCCCGAACUACGCAAAGAUCUGAUUCAUGCGGCGUCAUGAUACGUAGGCAACCUACAUAGGGUUCGAUCGAAUCAUUUUUUUAUUUUUAUUAAAAGAAAAGGGAAAAAAGAAGGAAACACAAAAAAAAGAGGUGAAAUUAUGGGAUGUGAGAAAUGAGAGGAAAGAAAAGAGUGAUAAUUAGAAGAAGAAGAAAAAAGAGGAAGGAAAAUGAGCAAGCCAAGAAGUGUUAGAAAAGAAAAGAAAAUAGGAGAUUGAAAUGAAUAAAAUUGCGAUGAUGCCAAGUGACCUUGUGACCCUCGAAGUUAUUCUUGAACCGUUAAUUGUUGCUAGGUGCAUUACAUGCAAUGUGAUAUUUUUAGCUGUUAAAUGUCCUAAUGCUAACAGGAUGACCCCAUUUUGUUCUUUUUGUUAUCUUCAUUGAGAAGAAGGGUGGUUGGUUUGUGGUUCUUAAACUGGUAACUCUUCCAUACAAUACAAGGUCAAAGAGCAAGGUAGCCAUGACUAGCAAAGACUUGAACACGAGAGUUGUUGGCCCGUCGAGGGAGUUUGUGGAGUCGGAGUCUGAAUUGAAAGAGGAGGUCCAAAGGGUGAAACAACAGAUGUCAGAAAUGUAUAAGUCUUGGAUCAGGGGGUAUCAUCCACCUUCAUUCCCCACUAACUACACUGAAAACCCUGCAACUAUCCACCACUAUCACAAGCCUAGGUUCCUACUGCUGUUAAUAUCUCCCCACAACCUUUUCACACUCCACCCCUCAAAAGCACAUCAUAUCCCGCUCCUUUGGCCACUCAUGCUCUUGUAGCUCCUCCUCCAGCUACGUUUCCUCGAUCCUCUAACGAGACUGUGUUCAAACUCCCCGAUGCCCAACACUAUGCCUCAUAACCAACUUUCAAAGUCUCGGAUCCAUAUUCUCACUCUCCUCAUUUUGAGGCUCCCAAUGAAACUAAAAAACCUACUAAGACAGUGGAGCAAGAUGAGAUAUCCAGGAAGGUAAAAAUCUUAGAGCAGUCUUUAAAAAACAUGCAAGGGAUAGGGAGCCAGAUGAGCGUGGCUUACAAUGACUUGUGUUUGUUUCCUGACAUCCAACUGCCAACUGGGUUUAAGAUGCCAAAGUUUGAUUUGUAUGACGGGCACGGAGAUCCCGUGGCCGUUUUGAGAGGUUACUGCACUAAGAUGAGAGGCGCCGGUAGGAAAGACAAAUUAUUGAUGAUGUAUUUCAGUCAGAGUCUGAGUGGGGUAGCUCUGGAGUGGUACACCCGCCAAGACGUUAGCAAGUGGUACGCAUGGGACGAUAUGGCUCAGGUCUUUGCCCGGUACUUUCAGUACAAUAUAAAAAUUGUCCCGGAUCGCAUGUCCCUCACCAAGAUAGAAAAGAAGCCUAACAAAAGCUUUAGAAAAUACGGGCUUAGAUGGAGAGAGCAAGCGGCCAGAGUCAAUCCCCCGAUGGAAGAAAAAGAGAUGGUCGAGUACUUUCUUCAAGCUCAAGAGCUAACUUACUUUGGGCAUUUGAUCACGGAUAUAGGUAGGCCUUUUAAUGAUGUGGUAAAAAUAGGAGAAAUGGUAGAAGAUGGGUUGAAGUCGAGCAAGAUUAUGAGUUAUUAUGCUUUGAAAGCAACAACACAAGCAAUUCAAAAUGACAAAGGAAGCUUGUUGGGUCAGAAGGAACACGAUGAUGUUGCCAUGGUUGUUUUAGAGUCACGACAUGGUCCAAAGGGUCCGCCUCAUCAAUAUACCCAUCCUCAACCCCAACCCCAAACUUAUGCCCGAGCUCCACAUAAUCCACCUCAUUAUUAUCCUCCGAACAAUGUCCGGUCAUCUGUAAAACCACCAGAUCACUCCCUAUGGCGAGCGCCAGCACCGCAUAAUGCAUUCUUGACUUCACAACAUUUCCGAGCACCCAAAAACCCUAGAAAAUAGGUGCAGAGAGGGAAACAAAGGCAAAGAAAUAGUUUCACGCCAAUCGGGGAGUCCUACACAAACUUGUUUGAAAAGUUGAAGCAUUCUGGCCUAAUUGAGCCGCUCCUCAGCUAUACUCCAGACCCAUAUGCAAAAGGUUUUGAUCCUUCUAUACGAUGCAUGUAUCACUCUAAUGUCCAAGGGCAUAACAUUGAAGAUUAUCGUGCUUUGAAAAGGGAAAUAGAAAGAAUGAUUCAAGAAGGGGUAAUUGUGAUUAAGGACAAUGACAUGGAGCAUGCGAAUCCUCUUGGGAACUUGUUGACUGAAGUUAAUGAUAUUGAAGUUAUUAAUGGUCUUAGAAAUAUUGAUGUGGAACCUAGUGGCUAAGAUGUCGUGCUUGGUAAUUGGAAAGACGCUCUAUCUUUUGGCUAGCUGGGGAGGAAUCUUGGUGGUUUAUUUUGUUGUCAUUUCUAUUGUCCGGGUUAUUUUCAGGGUUGUAAUCCGGAUAUUGUCUUGUGACUCAAACCCUUCUAUCAUUUUAUUUCGCCUAGUUUGUUUAGUCGUAAUAGCUCGUUUAGUAUUGUCUGGUUUUGUUCCAGGAUUGUAACCCCAACUUAUUUUACUUGUUUUAUUGUUCAAACCCUUUCACCAUCUGUCUAAUGCAAUUUCCUGUUUUUUGUUAUUUCUAGUCAGUGUUUGUUUAGUUCUCUUUCCCUUUUAUAGUUCUUCUCCUGCUGACUCUAGUGACAUGGCAUGCACGAGUAAUUCUCAGCAUGGUCUUAAAAGUUAGUUUAGUCAUGUAGCAAUGAAACAAUUUUGAAGAUGAUAGGGACAUUUGAGGGAAAUAAGUAAAGGCAUUGUGAGAUCACUUCAAGCCCGAAUUGUAUGAAACUGGGGCAAAUAGAACAUAAAGAAACACUAUUGAAACGCAUCCUGCCGCAUCACGUUGAAGCCAAAGGCAAGUUUGCCCCAAAUUGGCAGGGGCCGUUCGUGGUAACGAGAGUGUUGUCCAAUGGUGCUUUGUAUUUAACAGAUGUAGAAGGAAAAUGUGUGGAUAUGGUCAUCAAUUCUGAUGCAGUCAAAAGAUAUUAUGUAUGAUUUCUUUGGUUUGUUUAAUUGUGUUGUUUGUAUUUGGUAUGCUUUGAAGAUUGGAAUGACGAAGGCAUUUUAUUCUGUUAUCUAAACUCUUUAUUCUUUGUUACCCCUUUGAGCCUUAUUUAUUUUCUUUCAUAUCCCUCUUUUGGAAUCAGAAGCAGAGUUUAGAAAUAUGAUACACGAAAAAAGGAGAGAAAAGAAAAAAAAGAAAAAGAGAAAAAGAGAAAGAAAAAAUGAAAAAAAAGAGUAAAGAAAAGAAAAGAAAAGAGAAAAAGAAAAAAAGAGAGAAAAGUACAAAACAAAGCAAUUCCUAUGACAUGAACUACGUUCGACCUGAUUUCUUUUAAGGAUACAUAGGCAGCCUCACGGUUCGGUCCCAUCAAAAUAAAAUUUUAAAAGUCCCAAAGAAAAGAAACUGGGACAGAAGUUGUGGUUGACGCAAGAGAUCUGAUUCUAAAAGUUAUAAUUUUGAGCCCUUUUAAGCUGUUUUUGAGCCUUUAUGAUACCCUUUGUUUCUAAUCCUAUCCAAAAGCCUACACUACGGUCCAAAGAAAGACCUUCCGAUCAAUCUUUGAGUAGUGCCAAGUCAAGCAAGUUAGAGGUAUGUUCUCCUCAGGGGCGACACUCCGUUCUACAAAAGGAAAGCAAAAAUGAGAGAGCCUUGUCAGUGAAAAUCUUCACAGGCACCAUAAGGCGACGGUAAGUUGAGGGAAAGAACAAAAUAAGAGAGGCUUGAUGGUAAAAACCCUUCGGGCAUUACAAGUCGAAUAAGGACCAUGAAUCAGAUAGGAUAAUCGGAGCAUUGAAGCCGAGUUUCACGACUCAGAGGUACAAUAGGAGUUGAAUAUUAGACUUGCUUGACAUAUUAGGCCACUUAAUCAAAAUGUGCAUGUCAUGGUCAUUAGAGUUGGUGCCCACAUCUGAUAAGUUUCUACUUUAUAAUUUUCUUGUUAGGUAUCAUCUCUUUCCAUUGUCCCUUACUUUGUUCCUUUUGUCUUGUUUACUUCCUCUUCUUGAGUCUGUUUGGUCAAAACAAGUAAGAAAUGACUUCAAAAUUUGCCACCAACUUUCCAAUUGCACAAAACGGGAUCUGGCUAGCACAUCAAAGCGACAUAAGUCAGGAAAGAGCGGUAUACGCAUUGAAUGGAUAACAAUCGACGUGCUUUGGGAUUCAUGAGAAAUGCAAAGGUUGGGUAAAUGUCAAUUCAUGAGCGAAAUGCAACAGAUAGAAGGUAUAGAGUUUGAAUGAAUCAGAAGUAUUUUCUAUGAUAAAGGUGAUAGAUAAAGUGGUUAGUCAAUAAACAGGCAAGGUCUUUCAAGUUGAAAUCAAGGUUAUCAUGGCAAGUGAAGGAGCAAUCGCCCGCAAAGUCAAGGCUACAAACCAACCACCAUAUUUAAACUCACAAGUUUUCUUUGUCUGAAACAUGGAUGAAAUCUAUGUUCUUAUCAAAGCUUGGAAGCUUAAAUUUUUCAGGUGUAAUGCCCCAGUUCUGCUUACGCAAAGGCUAUUGAGAAGAUCACACAUCACCCCUAGGAGAAACACGUCCAAGUCUGGGGUUUUCAAGUUAUAUUUUGUUGUAGGAGAUGCACUUCCUAAAUUGAGUUCACCCUUAGGAUAUGCACUUCCUAGCCUGAGUCUUUAAGGUUAUAUUUUUCUUAGGAGACGCACUUCUUAAAUUAAGAUUUUUUACCAUUAAGAGGCACACUUCCUUGUUUAGAUCAUAUGAGUUUUAGUUAUUGAAGUUUUCACCCCUACGAAAACGCACUUCCUAGUCUUGGUCAUUUAAAUUCACCCCUAGGAGACACACGUCCUAGUUGGAGUCAUUGAAAUUUUACCCGUUAAGAGACGCACUUCCUAGCAGGGAUCUUUCAGAUUAUACUAUUUAGGAGACACACUUCCUAGCUUUGGUCAUUUAAAUUCAUUCCUAGGAGACGCACUUCCUAGCUUGAGUCAUUGAUGUUUCACCCCUAGGAGACACACUUCCUAAUCUGGGUCUUUCAGGUUAUAUUUUUGUUUCAUGAGACGCACUUCCUAAAUUGAGUUUCACCCCUAGGAGACGCACUUCCUAGUAUAGGUAUUUCAGGAUACACUUUCAGGAGACGCACUUUCUAAAUUGAGUUUCACCCCUAGGAGACGGACUUCCUAAAUUGAGUUUCACCCCUAGGAAACGCACUUCCUAGUCUGGGUCUUUCAAGAUACACUUUCAGGAGACGCACUUCCUAAAUUGAGAUUUCACCCCUAGGAGACGCACUUCCUAGUCUGGGUUGUUCAGGAUAUACUUUUAGGAGAUGCACUUCCUAAACCGAGAUUUUACCCCUAGGAGACGCACUUCCUAGUGUGAGUCAUACAAGUUUUACCCCUAGGAGAUGCACUUUCUAGUUUGGUUCAUUCAAGUUUCACCCAUGGGGGACAGACUUCCUGAUAUGGGGCAUUCAGUUUUUAUUUUUAGCAGACGCAUUUGCUGGUCAAAGUUUCUUGGUUUUACUCACAGGAGACGCACAUCCUAGUCUAGUCUUUAGUUUACUCUCAUCAUUGCAUCAAUAGUAUAAGUAGUUUACAAUAUUGCUAACAACUCACAAAUCUUCCUAGUGCAAACUAGGGCAGAAAAUUUUGUUUGUUUUGUUUGUUUUGAUUGCAGGCACCCACAUGGAGAACAAGUGAACACAGAAAAUUCAGCAAUCAGGCGCCCACCUGAAGAACAAGGAAAGACAGUUCAAGUUUCAAGGGAAAGCAGUUCCGAGAGAACACAGAAAGUUUCAGCAAUCAGGCGCCCACCUAGAGAACAAGGGAAGACAGUUCAAGUUUCAAGGGAAGACAGUGCAAGUUUCAAGGGAAAGCAGUUCCGAGGGAACACAGAAAGUUUCAGCAAUCAGCACCCACCUGGAGAACAAGGGAAGACAGUUCAAGUUUCAAGGGAAAACGAUUCAAGUUUCGAAGGAAGACAGUUCAAGUUUUGGCAAUCAAGCACCCGCCUAGAAAACAAGGGAAUUCACUUCAGAAUGCAAUUCAAGUCAGCAACAAAAAAAGCUCACAGCAAGAAUGCGAGUCAGCAGUCCGAGAUGAUUAACGAAAGUUAGUCACAAUCCAGAAUAAAAAAAGGCAAGAAGUGAAUCCAAAUGCAGAAGUUGAUGAAAGAUGUGAGCUACUCAAGACAUGACUGAAGUCACAAGCACGGUAUGUCCGGUUUUGAUCUGAAAAGCUGAAGAAGAAUGGACUAGCACCUGCAACUAGCAAACAUCAGGGUUCAAAUCCAAAGUCUGCAUGAAGAACCAUUCAACACUCAAGAUCAAGCUUCAGAAGACUUAUAUAUAGGAAUCUUGUAACUCAUAGUUGACAGGCUUAGUUAGUAUUUUUUUUUUGAUGUAAUAACAGGAUCGCGGACCGGAACCUCGACGGAAUGACACCUCGAUCGGCUCUCCACCUCGGUACUCCAUCACUCUUUCUAAUUCUGAACUACACGUGGCCUGAUUCCUUUAUAGCCAAGGGCAUGUAGGCAGCUCAGAUACCAGGGCUCGGUCACAUUCUCUUCCUUUCUCUUAGUUUUUGGUCUCCCUAAAUAAGGGUCGGGUCAAAGAGGGGCAGCUGUAGACAUGUGAUUUUUGACCCUCCCCAAGAUUUUUCAUAUUUUAGCAUGUAAAUGUUUAUUUUAGGCCUAAUAUCGCUAUUUUAAUUAGUUUUGACCCUUUUACUUUAUUUUCUCACAAAAAAUGAAAAUUACAAAAACAAAUAGUUUCAUUAAGGUUUUGUAGUCAUUUUUAAUCUUGAAAAAUACCAAAAAAAUAGGUUUGUUUUAAACGGUUAGUGUUAUUUUAAUAGUUAUUUUCUUAAGUAAGAUUAAGUAGUAUUUUUAAUAGUUAUCUUGUUUGCUAUAUUAUUUUUACAUACAAAAAGGAGGAGGGAAUAGAAUUAAUUUUUUUGGACUAAUUUAGUCUUGCUUGUAGCCCAAUUAAACCAAUCUCUUAUCCCAUUAACUCAAAAGCCCAAACCUAGACACCCCUUUAGAAUAAUAUGCAAGAAAAAUAAAAAUAAAAACCCUAGACCUAGACUUUAGCACAUCAGUCGUUUUUUACAUGGAAGAAACUCUUCAUCUUCCUUAGAGAAAACCCUAGAGGACCUAAUCUUGAAGACCAAGCAACCAUGAGAGAUACAACUCUAAAAAAAACCUAGCACCAGCAGUUCCGGCCAACCCUCCUUCCCCGAACCCUAGAACUUUUACACCUCGCCCAAACGACCCUUGAACUCCUCCUACACAGAACCAGCGAGAACGUACCCUCUCAUCUCUCUCGAUAUUUGAGAGCAACGAGUAUUAGAAUAGCAUCCCCAAUAAAGAACGACCUCCCUCCCUCGUUGCACUUUCGUUCUGUUCUAUCUCGCCAACGAGCUGGCCAAAAUCCAACAGGCUUUCAUGGAGGUCGUUCCAAAGCUCCAAGAAGAAGCAACAACCAUCGUCCAAACCUCUAACCAGCGAUAGCCGCUCCCUCGCCACAAACAGCCCGAAGCAGCUCAAAACCGCCAGUAACUGUCAUAGCGUCUGUUGGUUUCAUUGUUUGGUUUAAUUUGGUUUUCCAGCGAGUACUGUUCUUCAUCUCCUUCUCCGGCAGCCAUUGCUAAUCCAACUGACCAUGUUCUUGGAUUCUAGAUCUGGCCGGUUUUACAUUUUUCGGCGAUUUUCAUUAAAACGGAUGGAGUUUUGUUUGAGUCUAGUUUUGCCGGUUUGAGGUUCGGAUCAAUAGCUCGUUUGUUUUGAUUUGCUGUUUUCUUGAGAUCUUACUCCAUUGAUUCAUGGCGGAAAAUACAUAGCAAUAAGGUUCAUUUUCCUUUCCGAUAUUGUUCUUCUCGCUAAUGUUUGGAUCGUUUUAUAUUGAUUUAAUUUGUAUGAUUGGGAUGAUUUUUGUUCUUAGUUUUCUGUAUUGGGACAUUACUUUUGUCGAUUACGUUUCCUCUUAGUCCAUUACUGUAAUUUUCUUAGCAAAUUAUAUAGUUAGUCUCAUUAAUAAUCCA